RNAcentral lists this ribosomal RNA (450 nucleotides) under uncultured Burkholderia sp. Its description in RNAcentral is "bacterial SSU rRNA". It matches the Rfam family "Bacterial small subunit ribosomal RNA", at positions 194 to 637 of the family's 1533-position model. Lineage: Bacteria; Pseudomonadati; Pseudomonadota; Betaproteobacteria; Burkholderiales; Burkholderiaceae. The record is from RNAcentral.
GGGGGAUCUUUCGGGACCUCUCGCUCAAGGGGCGGCCGAUGGCAGAUUAGCUAGUUGGUGGGGUAAAGGCCUACCAAGGCGACGAUCUGUAGCUGGUCUGAGAGGACGACCAGCCACACUGGGACUGAGACACGGCCCAGACUCCUACGGGAGGCAGCAGUGGGGAAUUUUGGACAAUGGGCGCAAGCCUGAUCCAGCAAUGCCGCGUGUGUGAAGAAGGCCUUCGGGUUGUAAAGCACUUUUGUCCGGAAAGAAAUCCUUUGGGCUAAUACCCUGGGGGGAUGACGGUACCGGAAGAAUAAGCACCGGCUAACUACGUGCCAGCAGCCGCGGUAAUACGUAGGGUGCAAGCGUUAAUCGGAAUUACUGGGCGUAAAGCGUGCGCAGGCGGUUCGCUAAGACAGAUGUGAAAUCCCCGGGCUUAACCUGGGAACUGCAUUUGUGACUGGC